AGCGAACGCUGGCGGCAGGCCUAACACAUGCAAGUCGAGCGCCCCGCAAGGGGAGCGGCAGACGGGAGAGUAACACGUGGGAACGUACCCUUCAGUUCGGAACAACCCAGGGAAACUUGGGCUAAUACCGGAUACGUCCGUAAGGAGAAAGAUUUAUCGCUGAAGGAUCGGCCCGCGUCUGAUUAGCUAGUUGGUGGGGUAAUGGCCCACCAAGGCGACGAUCAGUAGCUGGUCUGAGAGGAUGAUCAGCCUCACUGGGACUGAGACACGGCCCAGACUCCUACGGGAGGCAGCAGUGGGGAAUAUUGGACAAUGGGCGCAAGCCUGAUCCAGCCAUGCCGCGUGGAUGAUGAAGGCCCUAGGGUUGUAAAGUCCUUUCGGCGGGGAAGAUAAUGACGGUACCCGCAGAAGAAGCCCCGGCUAACUUCGUGCCAGCAGCCGCGGUAAUACGAAGGGGGCUAGCGUUGCUCGGAAUCACUGGGCGUAAAGCGCACGUAGGCGGACAC
Molecule: ribosomal RNA, 506 nt
Filed under: uncultured bacterium
Lineage: Bacteria
Description: bacterial SSU rRNA
Rfam family: Bacterial small subunit ribosomal RNA
Source: RNAcentral